RNAcentral lists this non-coding RNA (28 nucleotides) under Mus musculus (house mouse). The record is from RNAcentral. Lineage: Eukaryota; Metazoa; Chordata; Mammalia; Rodentia; Muridae.
UGUACCAGGAACACGUUAACUGCAGAAC